CCUACGGGAGGCAGCAGUGGGGGAUCUUGCACAAUGGGGGCAACCCUGAUGCAGCAACGCCGCGUGAGCGAAGAAGGUUUUCGGAUUGUAAAGUUCUGUCCUUAUCGAAGAUAAGGUGUAGAUACAAGAAUAAUAUACUAGGACUAUAGAUGAGGAGGAAGCCGCGGCUAAAUACGUGGCAGCAGCCGCGGUAAUACGUAGGGGGCGAGCGUUGUCCGGAAUCACUGGGUGUAAAGGGGGCGUAGGCGGUGAUGUAAGUCAGGUGUGAAAGGUGGGGGCUCAACCCGUGGAGUGCAACGGAUACUGUGUAACUGGAGUGUGGGAGAGGGAGGCGGAAUUCCUAGUGUAGCGGUGAAAUGCGUAGAUAUUAGGAGGAACACCAGUGGCGAAGGCGGCUUUCUGG
RNAcentral lists this ribosomal RNA (403 nucleotides) under uncultured bacterium. RNAcentral describes it as "partial 16S ribosomal RNA". It matches the Rfam family "Bacterial small subunit ribosomal RNA", at positions 338 to 732 of the family's 1533-position model. The record is from RNAcentral.